This 1057-nucleotide ribosomal RNA is filed under the name Escovopsis weberi. RNAcentral describes it as "SSU rRNA". It matches the Rfam family "Eukaryotic small subunit ribosomal RNA", at positions 58 to 1123 of the family's 1831-position model. The record is from RNAcentral. Lineage: Eukaryota; Fungi; Ascomycota; Sordariomycetes; Hypocreales; Hypocreaceae.
UCUAAGUAUAAGCAAUUAUACAGCGAAACUGCGAAUGGCUCAUUAUAUAAGUUAUCGUUUAUUUGAUAAUACCUUACUACUUGGAUAACCGUGGUAAUUCUAGAGCUAAUACAUGCUAAAAAUCCCGACUUCGGAAGGGUUGUAUUUAUUAGAUUAAAAACCAAUGCCCCUCGGGGCUCUCUGGUGAAUCAUGAUAACUAGUCGAAUCGACAGGCCUUGUGCCGGCGAUGGCUCAUUCAAAUUUCUUCCCUAUCAACUUUCGAUGUUUGGGUAUUGGCCAAACAUGGUGGCAACGGGUAACGGAGGGUUAGGGCUCGACCCCGGAGAAGGAGCCUGAGAAACGGCUACUACAUCCAAGGAAGGCAGCAGGCGCGCAAAUUACCCAAUCCCGACACGGGGAGGUAGUGACAAUAAAUACUGAUACAGGGCUCUUUUGGGUCUUGUAAUCGGAAUGAGUACAAUUUAAAUCCCUUAACGAGGAACAAUUGGAGGGCAAGUCUGGUGCCAGCAGCCGCGGUAAUUCCAGCUCCAAUAGCGUAUAUUAAAGUUGUUGUGGUUAAAAAGCUCGUAGUUGAACCUUGGGCCUGGCUGGCCGGUCCGCCUCACCGCGUGCACUGGUCCGGCCGGGCCUUUCCCUCUGCGGAACCCCAUGCCCUUCACUGGGCGUGGCGGGGAAACAGGACUUUUACUUUGAAAAAAUUAGAGUGCUCAAGGCAGGCCUAUGCUCGAAUACAUUAGCAUGGAAUAAUGAAAUAGGACGUUGCGGUUCUAUUUUGUUGGUUUCUAGGACCGCCGUAAUGAUUAAUAGGGACAGUCGGGGGCAUCAGUAUUCAAUUGUCAGAGGUGAAAUUCUUGGAUUUAUUGAAGACUAACUACUGCGAAAGCAUUUGCCAAGGAUGUUUUCAUUAAUCAGGAACGAAAGUUAGGGGAUCGAAGACGAUCAGAUACCGUCGUAGUCUUAACCAUAAACUAUGCCGACUAGGGAUCGGACGAUGUUAUAUUUUUUGACGCGUUCGGCACCUUACGAGAAAUCAAAGUGCUUGGGCUCCAGGGGGAG